This is a long non-coding RNA of Cebus imitator (Panamanian white-faced capuchin), 287 nucleotides long. RefSeq lists it as uncharacterized. NCBI's taxonomy places the organism in Eukaryota, Metazoa, Chordata, Mammalia, Primates, Cebidae. The record is from RefSeq and is a predicted model, not a curated record. The transcript is spliced from 2 exons.
GCUGAGACUACUCUGUGGGCUACUUUGAAGUCAUGAAGCCUUUUUUGGCACCAUUGAAAAAUGCUGGAAUUUUCGUGGCUCUUGCCGUGACAAAUGCCUGAAGAAUGAAAAGGUCUAUAUUUUCUGCGAGAGUGGUAAACUGUGCUGUUUGAAGCCCAAGGACCAGCCACGUUUACACUAUCUUACAAUGAAUUAGUGCUUUAAAGUCUGAGGUCGCAAAAAUGAAGAUGAACUUGCCCUGAGUCUGAUGUUAGUAGAUUCCUGAGCUUUAUUAAAAUAUCUUUGGC